Molecule: ribosomal RNA, 479 nt
Filed under: uncultured Aeromonadaceae bacterium
Lineage: Bacteria; Pseudomonadati; Pseudomonadota; Gammaproteobacteria; Aeromonadales; Aeromonadaceae
Description: partial 16S ribosomal RNA
Rfam family: Bacterial small subunit ribosomal RNA (bases 13-375)
Source: RNAcentral
GACGAACGCUGGCGGCGUGCCUAAUACAUGCAAGUAGAACGCUGAAGGAGGAGCUUGCUUCUCUGGAUGAGUUGCGAACGGGUGAGUAACGCGUAGGUAACCUGCCUGGUAGCGGGGGAUAACUAUUGGAAACGAUAGCUAAUACCGCAUAAGAGUAGAUGUUGCAUGACAUUUGCUUAAAAGGUGCAAUUGCAUCACUGCCAGAUGGACCUGCGUUGUAUUAGCUAGUUGGGGGGGGAGCGGCUCACCAAGGCAACCAUACAUGGCGGACCUGAGAGGGUGAUCGCCCUCUCUGGACUGGAAAAAGGGCCCAGAACCCUACGGGAGGCACUCUUUGGUAAUCUUCGGCAUGAGAUUGAGUUUGAAAGAACGCCGGCCCUCUGAAUGAGAGGGAUUUUGAGACGGCAGCCCGUCGGUCAAAAAAACCCCCCAAUUCGCGGCGUGGAGGGAGCGGGGGGGGGGGCUUAGAAGGGGGGGGA